GUCUCUUUGGCAGAACAUUUAUUAAAAUUGGAACAAUACAGAAAUUAGUCAUGGCCCUUACACAAAUAUGACACCCAAAUUUGUGAAGCAGUCCAUAUUUUU
This 102-nucleotide small nuclear RNA is filed under the name Vulpes vulpes (red fox). The record is from RNAcentral. Lineage: Eukaryota; Metazoa; Chordata; Mammalia; Carnivora; Canidae.